CGGAACAUAGCGCAGCCUGGUAGCGCGCUCGCCUUGGGAGCGAGAGGGCGUGGGUUCGAAUCCCGCUGUUCCGACCA
Molecule: transfer RNA, 77 nt
Filed under: Tumebacillus flagellatus
Lineage: Bacteria; Bacillati; Bacillota; Bacilli; Caryophanales; Alicyclobacillaceae
Description: tRNA-Pro
Rfam family: tRNA
About the family: Transfer RNA (tRNA) molecules are approximately 80 nucleotides in length. Their secondary structure includes four short double-helical elements and three loops (D, anti-codon, and T loops).
Source: RNAcentral